GAGGCUGGGGCGUCAUCGGGGCCGGUUAGAAGCUCUGCUCCCCGGCGGGGACACUCAGUCGCGUCGGCACCGCGGAGCGGGCUGCGUCAGGUGGCUGGCCGGCGCGGCGCUCCCCUGCUCUCUGGCUCCGGACUGCGGCGCGGCGGCUGGAGCGAGCCCCUGUCCCGGCGCGGGGCGGCGGCGGGCGGCCGGCAGGCGCUGCCUUGCGUGUGAGUGCACCUCACUCACAUGUAAGUCGGGGAGCGCCGGGGCCUCCCGCGGAAGUGCGAGUCGCCCGGCGCAGGCAAGAGCCGCCGGGUCCGGGACAAGGCAGGGGCGCCCGGGCGCCGCUGCCUUGCCCCGGGGCGCCUCCGGGCACCCUCCAAUUCUCUCUCUUUUCUCUUCUCCAUUGGCGUGCCCAAGAGCCAAACCAAGGAGCGCCUGAGGGUGCUGGAGAAUCUGGUAAAAGCACCAUUGUGAAGCAGAUGAGGAUCCUGCAUGUUAAUGGGUUUAAUGGAGACAGUGAGAAGGCAACCAAAGUGCAGGACAUCAAAAACAACCUGAAAGAGGCGAUUGAAACCAUUGUGGCCGCCAUGAGCAACCUGGUGCCCCCCGUGGAGCUGGCCAACCCCGAGAACCAGUUCAGAGUGGACUACAUUCUGAGUGUGAUGAACGUGCCUGACUUUGACUUCCCUCCCGAAUUCUAUGAGCACGCCAAGGCUCUGUGGGAGGAUGA
RNAcentral lists this small RNA (715 nucleotides) under Pongo abelii (Sumatran orangutan). Its description in RNAcentral is "processed transcript". The record is from RNAcentral. Lineage: Eukaryota; Metazoa; Chordata; Mammalia; Primates; Hominidae.